AUUGAACGCUGGCGGCAUGCCUUACACAUGCAAAGUCGAGCGGCAGCGCGGGGGCAAACCCUGGCGGCGAGCGGCGAACGGGUGAGUAAUGCAUCGGAACGUGUCCUCUUGUGGGGGAUAACCAGUCGAAAGACUGGCUAAUACCGCAUGAGCUCGCAAGAGGAAAGCAGGGGACCCGCAAGGGCCUUGCGCGAGAGGAGCGGCCGAUGCCGGAUUAGCUAGUUGGUGGGGUAACGGCCCACCAAGGCGACGAUCCGUAGCUGGUCUGAGAGGACGACCAGCCACACUGGGACUGAGACACGGCCCAGACUCCUACGGGAGGCAGCAGUGGGGAAUUUUGGACAAUGGGGGCAACCCUGAUCCAGCCAUGCCGCGUGUGUGAAGAAGGCCUUCGGGUUGUAAAGCACUUUCGGACGGAACGAAAUCGCGCGGGGUGAACAUCCCGCGUGGAUGACGGUACCGUAAGAAGAAGGCACCGGGCUAACUACGUGCCCAGCAGCCGCGGUAA
This 508-nucleotide ribosomal RNA is filed under the name uncultured bacterium. Its description in RNAcentral is "bacterial SSU rRNA". It matches the Rfam family "Bacterial small subunit ribosomal RNA", at positions 29 to 523 of the family's 1533-position model. The record is from RNAcentral.